This is an RNA transcript of Dermacentor silvarum, 2658 nucleotides long. It is a transcript of the gene named retinol dehydrogenase 7, with no coding region annotated. The record is from RefSeq and is a predicted model, not a curated record. The transcript has 7 exons. Lineage: Eukaryota; Metazoa; Arthropoda; Arachnida; Ixodida; Ixodidae.
CGACUACGUUUUACUCUUUGGAGAGUCUCUCCGUCUGUUGAAGGCGGCCUAGCACGAUCGAAGGCACGGCAGCACGGCCACGUGGAUACUCGCUCUCAGCGUGAAAACCUAUUCGGUAAUCCUCUUCGCCUGUAGUCUGCGCAGUCCUUUUGGUUCAACUCAACAAGGGGGGUCCAGGUAAUGCGACUCCUCCUCACAACUAGUAGGGAACGGCCAUGAGGGUCUCCUGGGUUUUGUUCAUCGCUCUGACUGCUGUGCUAUGGUACCUAUGGCCACGGCUUCCGCUGCUUCCGGGCAUUGCCCACGGUGUCGGUUCCCUGAUGCUCAUGAUGUGUGCGAGUUACUUUCUCGCAAAAUUCCUCUGGGGAAUCGCUUGCGUCCGCCUGGUGAGCGGAUAUGGAAAGGCAGUGCUUAUCACCGGUUGCGACACGGGUUUCGGACACCUGCUGGCUAAAUCCCUGGCCAGGGACGGCUUUCUCGUCUUCGCUGGCUGCCUGGACGCUAACGGCGAAGGCGCGACGUCGCUCAAAAAGCAGGCUAACGUCAGGGUCCUCCAGAUGGACGUCACAAAAGAUGCGGAAAUUGACGGGGCUCACCGCGUGGUGACAGAAGAGCUUGGAACACGCAAGCUCUGGGCUGUGGUGUGCAACGCGGCCAUAAUGAACAGCGGCCUCAUCGAAUGGUUGACCAUGGCUAGCAUCACUCGCAUCUUUGACGUCAACGUGUUCGGCGUGGUGCGUGUGGUCAAGAAGUUUAUGCCGAUGCUGAAGGAGAGCCAGGGACGAGUAGUCAUCGUCACCAGCAAUCUUUCUUAUUUCACGCUGCCAUUCACAACGCCUUACGCCAUGACGAAGCACGCGGUGCUGUCUCUGGUCGAUGGUUUGAGGAGAGAGUGCCAUGGCAAGGGAGUCGACAUUGUGGCAGUUGAACCACUGACCUACAGGUCCAAGGUUACCGACGCCGUAGGCUCCCUCGAUGCCGUCGAAAAGGAAUUCAAGUGCCAGCCUGCCGAAGUAACGGCUGGCUACAACGCGCAAGAACUACAUGACUGGACCCGCUCAAUGAAGGCACUCUAUGAUUGGAGGAUGAAGGACAACAUCGAAGAUCUGGUCGACCAAAUGAUCCUGGCUGUCAGGGAGAAGCACCCGAAAACGCGAUAUCGGACGAUGGCCUUCUUUGACUACGCUUGGGUUACCUGCCUGAGGAUGCUACCGGCCGAGGCGGUGGACUUUAUUUUACUCUGGUCGAGAAGGAUGGCGUUGUGGAAGAAGUGAGCGUGUAAACAUUCGCGGCUGCGUUACCAGAUAUCAAAGGGUGCUUCUUGGUGGAACUUGUGUCGGCAAGUCCUUCGCUUGUGCAGUCGCAGUGAAAUGAGUGAGCAGGUUCGUGCUGACUGACUCGCUACAAGGAAGUGCUGGAUGCUCUUUCGCACAAGCGCACAAGCUUCCAUUCCGGCUUCAUCGUUACAACAGUUCACAACACAACUUCGUUGACAUCACGUGCCAAUUCGUCGCAUAUGCGGGUUCGACGAACACAUGCGCGAAAACGUAUUCCGCACCAACGAACUAAAGGUGUUGCAGUUGAAUUUGAAAUUUCCCAAUGUGUCAUGUUUUAUCUCCUCUGUUGAAAGGAAUUUGAAGUUUCCAUGCAGGAGAAUGUACAGUGUUCAGCUAUUAAAUUCGAUACUCGGUAGGCGCUGGGGACACCGAGCAUUGUGGUGUAGGGUGAAAGCGCUCCCUUUUGUGACGCGCGGUGACGGCAUUUGGCCCCUCGAGCGAUCGCCCAGGACUCACUGGUGGCGCAAAAAGCGCCGCAGUCAUGCGCUUCGAGUAUCGCGUUUUAUUCGUUGAGCACUCCAUGAGAGCCCCUUAUGGUAUAUUUCUGAUUGACGCUCGAACGCUGUUGAAUUUUGCGCUGAGAGUUAAGCGAAAACUUAGAAACGGGGACGCUGCGUCAAUAGAAAAUUAAGCACGGGAGUAUGUCUAGAAAACACACAAUACGAAGUUUGGUUUCAUUGACUGCAUCAACUGUUCCAGUGUCUUGUGAAUGCAGAAGACACCAGGCGCUUUUUCGUGAUUAACACUGGUUAAAUAUUUUUGGGUGCCUUGACCACCGUAACACUACAUUAAAUUUAUGCUAAUAAUUUCUUUAAGUGUCACAUAUGCAACCAAUAUUGUUCUGUGACAGAUGUUGUUCAACGGAAUACUAUGGUCCCCGUUUCAAACAUUUUUCGCAUAAUUGUUGCAAUGGCUUCUCGUGGGAUGGUUUGAAUUUUAUCUCAAACUAGUUUAUAAGACUGCACGAUUGUGUAUUAGCUGUAGGAUGUGUCAUUGCAGCAUUCCAAUGCGAAAAUCAGUUUAUACAGGGAAGGCAGCCUAGACUAACCUUUUACUUAUGAAGGAAACCAGAUAAUUUUUAUUUGAAGAAUGUAGUAGAGUCAGUAGCAAAAACAUAGUUGUGGCAAUCAGAUGACAAUGCAGCGCUGAUUUUUGAAGCUGCGUUAAGUGUAUCUAGUCCACGCUGCAUGCGGCAGCAACAACUCCAUCUUUUUACUCCCAUGUCCUCCUCCCUCAUGGUAGGUUAGCUAACCGGCCUCACUCUCGGUUCGCCUCCAUACCUUCCUUUCACCACUAUCUCCAAUGACAUUUCUCACGCCUG